Molecule: non-coding RNA, 157 nt
Organism: Cathartes aura (turkey vulture)
Lineage: Eukaryota; Metazoa; Chordata; Aves; Accipitriformes; Cathartidae
Source: Rfam
GUUAAAAGCUAGGGCUAGGACUUGGAGGAUGUGUAGGCAAACGGAAGGAGAGCCGGGGGAAGAAAAACCGAAAUGGAUUCAUUCUCUGUCCUGGAUGGAGGAGGAGAGGAGAAGAGAAGGGGACGUGCGAGCUUCCUUCAACUGCCUCUGUCCGGUG